Molecule: non-coding RNA, 22 nt
Filed under: Arabidopsis thaliana (thale cress)
Lineage: Eukaryota; Viridiplantae; Streptophyta; Magnoliopsida; Brassicales; Brassicaceae
Also listed under: 1 other name
Source: RNAcentral
AUCGAACCAUCUAGUAGCUGGU